Non-coding RNA from Misgurnus anguillicaudatus (oriental weatherfish), 303 nucleotides. NCBI's taxonomy places the organism in Eukaryota, Metazoa, Chordata, Actinopteri, Cypriniformes, Cobitidae. The record is from RefSeq and is a predicted model, not a curated record.
AAAAUAUUGAUUUUCUCAUUUAUUGGAAUGCUGUGCAGGUUGUACCUUGCAGCCAUCCAUUACAAUGUCACCAAGCCGUAACAAAAGCAGGAGAGGGAAAGUACAAGGCUAUGUUCCCAAAACACACAAGUGACAUACUGUAUUUGAAGAUAAGCUGAAGGAAACCCCGAUUCCAAUGGACCUGGCAUCACAGUUUGAGAGACCUUCAAAGGAGGACGUGAUUGCAUGCCAUCUUCAGUGCAGGGGUCGUCGGAAGCCAACAUUCCGAUCAGGAAGCUCCAAGCAUAUCUGGAGAACAACAUA